This 300-nucleotide ribosomal RNA is filed under the name uncultured bacterium. RNAcentral's name for it is "bacterial SSU rRNA". It matches the Rfam family "Bacterial small subunit ribosomal RNA", at positions 775 to 1067 of the family's 1533-position model. The record is from RNAcentral.
GGAUUAGAUACCCUGGUAGUCCACGCCGUAAACGAUGUGUGCUAGCCGUUGGGGUGCAUUAGCACUUCGGUGGCGCAGCUAACGCGUUAAGCCGACCGCCUGGGGACUACGAGCGCAAGCUUAAAACUCAAAGGAAUUGACGGGGGCCCGCACAAGCAGCGGAGCGUGUGGUUUAAUUCGAAGCAACGCGAAGAACCUUACCAGGGUUUGACAUGUAUGGAUUCGCUCUUGGAAACUUGAGUCACGCGGCUUGCCGUGGAACAUACACAGGUGCUGCAUGGCUGUCGUCAGCUCGUGUUG